AUUAAAUAUACAGCGAAAGGGUUAAGACUAUUAUACUCUUAUGAGUGGUUAGGAUAAUAAUGGUUCUCGAUUAGAAUGAUAGUGGUGCUUUAGGAUUGAGUGAAUAGUUGGUUGAAUAUUAUGAUUUAACGGAUAAAAAUGAUCAAUGGGAUAGAUCUAACGAUCGAAAAUUUAUGAGUAUAAAAAAAUUUAUACUCAUAAGAAUAUAGUAGCUGAACUCCAGAGAAAGUCUUGUUUGUAACAGUUAUAUUUAUACAAGGUAUAGUCAAAAUCAAUCCCUCU
This 282-nucleotide long non-coding RNA is filed under the name Ananas comosus (pineapple). RNAcentral describes it as "long non-coding RNA (ACOM_LNC015439)". Lineage: Eukaryota; Viridiplantae; Streptophyta; Magnoliopsida; Poales; Bromeliaceae. The record is from RNAcentral.